CCAGGUCUUGACAUCCCGAUGCUAUUCUAGAGAUAGAAAGUUACUUCGGUACAUCGGUGACAGGUGGUGCAUGGUUGUCGUCAGCUCGUGUCGUGAGAUGUUGGGUUAAGUCCCGCAACGAGCGCAACCCCUAUUGUUAGUUGCCAUCAUUCAGUUGGGCACUCUAGCGAGACUGCCGGUAAUAAACCGGAGGAAGGUGGGGAUGACGUCAAAUCAUCAUGCCCCUUAUGACCUGGGCUACACACGUGCUACAAUGGUUGGUACAACGAGUUGCGAGUCGGUGACGGCGAGCUAAUCUCUUAAAGCCAAUCUCAGUUCGGAUUGUAGGCUGCAACUCGCCUACAUGAAGUCGGAAUCGCUAGUAAUCGCGGAUCAGCACGCCGCGGUGAAUACGUUCCCGGGCCUU
Molecule: ribosomal RNA, 406 nt
Filed under: uncultured Streptococcus sp.
Lineage: Bacteria; Bacillati; Bacillota; Bacilli; Lactobacillales; Streptococcaceae
Description: bacterial SSU rRNA
Rfam family: Bacterial small subunit ribosomal RNA
Source: RNAcentral